RNAcentral lists this ribosomal RNA (465 nucleotides) under Vreelandella stevensii. Its description in RNAcentral is "partial 16S ribosomal RNA". It matches the Rfam family "Bacterial small subunit ribosomal RNA", at positions 338 to 795 of the family's 1533-position model. The record is from RNAcentral. Lineage: Bacteria; Pseudomonadati; Pseudomonadota; Gammaproteobacteria; Oceanospirillales; Halomonadaceae.
CCUACGGGGGGCAGCAGUGGGGAAUGUUGGACAAUGGGCGAAAGCCUGAUCCAGCCAUGCCGCGUGUGUGAAGAAGGCCUUCGGGUUGUAAAGCACUUUCAGUGGGGAAGAAAGCCUUGGGGCUAAUACCCUCGAGGAAGGACAUCACCCACAGAAGAAGCACCGGCUAACUCCGUGCCAGCAGCCGCGGUAAUACGGAGGGUGCGAGCGUUAAUCGGAAUUACUGGGCGUAAAGCGCGCGUAGGCGGUCUGAUAAGCCGGUUGUGAAAGCCCCGGGCUCAACCUGGGAACGGCAUCCGGAGCUGUCAGGCUAGAGUGCAGGAGAGGAAGGUAGAAUUCCCGGUGUAGCGGUGAAAUGCGUAGAGAUCGGGAGGAAUACCAGUGGCGAAGGCGGCCUUCUGGACUGACACUGACGCUGAGGUGCGAAAGCGUGGGUAGCAAACAGGAUUACAUACCCGAGUAGUC